RNAcentral lists this ribosomal RNA (2933 nucleotides) under Priestia megaterium. Its description in RNAcentral is "23S ribosomal RNA". It matches the Rfam family "Bacterial large subunit ribosomal RNA". Lineage: Bacteria; Bacillati; Bacillota; Bacilli; Caryophanales; Bacillaceae. The record is from RNAcentral.
GGUUAAGUUAGAAAGGGCGCACGGUGAAUGCCUUGGCACUAGGAGCCGAUGAAGGACGGGACUAACACCGAUAUGCUUCGGGGAGCUGUAAGUGAGCUUUGAUCCGGAGAUUUCCGAAUGGGGAAACCCACUGUUCGUAAUGGAACAGUAUCUUUAUCUGAAUACAUAGGAUAUUGAAGGCAGACCCGGGGAACUGAAACAUCUAAGUACCCGGAGGAAGAGAAAGCAAAUGCGAUUUCCUGAGUAGCGGCGAGCGAAACGGAAUUAGCCCAAACCAAGAGGCUUGCCUCUUGGGGUUGUAGGACACUCUAUACGGAGUUACAAAGGAACGAAGUAAAUGAAGCGACCUGGAAAGGUCCGUCGAAGAAGGUAACAACCCUGUAGUUGAAACUUCGUUCCCUCUUGAGUGGAUCCUGAGUACGGCGGAACACGUGAAAUUCCGUCGGAAGCUGGGAGGACCAUCUCCCAAGGCUAAAUACUACCUAGUGACCGAUAGUGAACCAGUACCGUGAGGGAAAGGUGAAAAGCACCCCGGAAGGGGAGUGAAAGAGAUCCUGAAACCGUGUGCCUACAAGUAGUCAGAGCCCGUUAACGGGUGAUGGCGUGCCUUUUGUAGAAUGAACCGGCGAGUUACGAUCCCAUGCAAGGUUAAGCUGAUAAGGCGGAGCCGUAGCGAAAGCGAGUCUGAAUAGGGCGUUUAGUAUGUGGUUGUAGACCCGAAACCAGGUGAUCUACCCAUGUCCAGGGUGAAGUUCAGGUAACACUGAAUGGAGGCCCGAACCCACGCACGUUGAAAAGUGCGGGGAUGAGGUGUGGGUAGCGGAGAAAUUCCAAUCGAACCUGGAGAUAGCUGGUUCUCUCCGAAAUAGCUUUAGGGCUAGCCUCAUGUUGUGAGAGUCUUGGAGGUAGAGCACUGAUUGGACUAGGGGCCCCAACGGGUUACCGAAUUCAGUCAAACUCCGAAUGCCAAAGACUUAUCCAUGGGAGUCAGACUGCGAGUGAUAAGAUCCGUAGUCAAAAGGGAAACAGCCCAGACCACCAGCUAAGGUCCCCAAGUAUACGUUAAGUGGAAAAGGAUGUGGAGUUGCUUAGACAACCAGGAUGUUGGCUUAGAAGCAGCCACCAUUUAAAGAGUGCGUAAUAGCUCACUGGUCGAGUGACUCUGCGCCGAAAAUGUACCGGGGCUAAACGUAUCACCGAAGCUGUGGAUUGACAUCUUUGAUGUCAGUGGUAGGAGAGCGUUCUAAGUGCAGCGAAGUCAGACCGUAAGGACUGGUGGAGCGCUUAGAAGUGAGAAUGCCGGUAUGAGUAGCGAAAGACAAGUGAGAAUCUUGUCCACCGAAUGCCUAAGGUUUCCUGAGGAAGGCUCGUCCGCUCAGGGUUAGUCGGGACCUAAGCCGAGGCUGAAAAGCGUAGGCGAUGGCCAACAGGUUGAUAUUCCUGUACCACCUCCCCGCCGUUUGAGUAAUGGGGGACGCAGUAGGAUAGGGUAAGCGCGCUGCUGGAUAUGCGCGUUCAAGCAGUUAGGCUGAUGAGUAGGCAAAUCCGCUCAUCAUUAAGGCUGAGCUGUGAUGACGAGGGAAUUAUAGUACCGAAGUUCCUGAUUCCACACUGCCAAGAAAAGCCUCUAGCGAGGCGGGAGGUGCCCGUACCGCAAACCGACACAGGUAGGCGAGGAGAGAAUCCUAAGGUGAUCGAGAGAACUCUCGUUAAGGAACUCGGCAAAAUGACCCCGUAACUUCGGGAGAAGGGUGCUCUGGUAGGGUGUAUAGCCCGAGAGAGCCGCAGUGAAUAGGCCCAGGCGACUGUUUAGCAAAAACACAGGUCUCUGCGAAGCCGCAAGGCGAAGUAUAGGGGCUGACGCCUGCCCGGUGCUGGAAGGUUAAGAGGAGGGGUUAUCCUUUGGGAGAAGCUCUGAAUCGAAGCCCCAGUAAACGGCGGCCGUAACUAUAACGGUCCUAAGGUAGCGAAAUUCCUUGUCGGGUAAGUUCCGACCCGCACGAAAGGCGUAACGAUCUGGGCACUGUCUCAACGAGAGACUCGGUGAAAUUAUAGUACCUGUGAAGAUGCAGGUUACCCGCGACAGGACGGAAAGACCCCGUGGAGCUUUACUGUAGCCUGAUAUUGAAUUUUGGUACAGCUUGUACAGGAUAGGUAGGAGCCUGAGAAGCCGGAGCGCUAGCUUCGGUGGAGGCGUCGGUGGGAUACUACCCUGGCUGUAUUGAAAUUCUAACCCGCGGCCCUGAUCGGGCCGGGAGACAGUGUCAGGUGGGCAGUUUGACUGGGGCGGUCGCCUCCUAAAAUGUAACGGAGGCGCCCAAAGGUUCCCUCAGAAUGGUUGGAAAUCAUUCGUAGAGUGUAAAGGCACAAGGGAGCUUGACUGCGAGACCUACAAGUCGAGCAGGGACGAAAGUCGGGCUUAGUGAUCCGGUGGUUCCGCAUGGAAGGGCCAUCGCUCAACGGAUAAAAGCUACCCCGGGGAUAACAGGCUUAUCUCCCCCAAGAGUCCACAUCGACGGGGAGGUUUGGCACCUCGAUGUCGGCUCAUCGCAUCCUGGGGCUGUAGUCGGUCCCAAGGGUUGGGCUGUUCGCCCAUUAAAGCGGUACGCGAGCUGGGUUCAGAACGUCGUGAGACAGUUCGGUCCCUAUCCGUCGUGGGCGUAGGAAAUUUGAGAGGAGCUGUCCUUAGUACGAGAGGACCGGGAUGGACACACCGCUGGUGUACCAGUUGUCUUGCCAAAGGCAUCGCUGGGUAGCUAUGUGUGGACGGGAUAAGUGCUGAAAGCAUCUAAGCAUGAAGCCCCCCUCAAGAUGAGAUUUCCCAUAGCGCAAGCUAGUAAGAUCCCUGAAAGAUGAUCAGGUUGAUAGGUCAGAGGUGGAAGCGUGGCGACAUGUGUAGCUGACUGAUACUAAUCGAUCGAGGACUUAACCAA